This 501-nucleotide ribosomal RNA is filed under the name uncultured bacterium. RNAcentral describes it as "partial 16S ribosomal RNA". It matches the Rfam family "Bacterial small subunit ribosomal RNA", at positions 30 to 523 of the family's 1533-position model. The record is from RNAcentral.
AUUGAACGCUGGCGGCAGGCUUAACACAUGCAAGUCGAGCGGAGAUGAAGUGCUUGCACCUUAUCUUAGCGGCGGACGGGUGAGUAAUGCUUAGGAAUCUGCCUAUUAGUGGGGGACAACAUUCCGAAAGGAAUGCUAAUACCGCAUACGUCCUACGGGAGAAAGCAGGGGAUCGUCGGACCUUGCGCGAAUAGAUGAGCCGAAGAAGGAUAAGCUAGUUGGUGGGGUAAAGGCCUAGCAAGGCGACGAUCUGUAGCGGGUGUGAGAGGAUGAUCCGCCAAAAUGGGACUGAGACACGGCCCAGACUCCUACGGGAGGCAGCAGUGGGGAAUAUUGGACAAUGGGGGGAACCCUGAUCCAGCCAUGCCGCGUGUGUGAAGAAGGCCUUAUGGUUGUAAAGCACUUUAAGCGAGGAGGAGGCUACUGAGACUAAUACUCUUGGAUAGUGGACGUUACUCGCAGAAUAAGCACCGGCUAACUCUGUGCCAGCCGCCGCCGUAA